Molecule: non-coding RNA, 5191 nt
Organism: Castor canadensis (American beaver)
Lineage: Eukaryota; Metazoa; Chordata; Mammalia; Rodentia; Castoridae
Source: RefSeq, a predicted model, not a curated record
GGCAGGAGCAGCCUGCCUUCGGCCUCCAGGCGUGGGCUUGUGAGACUAGUGUUACGCAGAAAGCUACUCCGAACAGACAUUGAGGCACGGCUUGCCCGCUACGGUGGAGAGGACAUGGCUAGAUUGCCUUAGACAGCCAAUUUCCCUUUCUUCGGCCAGUCGGGUUAGAGGCGCGGGAGGCGCAGGGGCUUCUGGGAACGCGCAUGCGCCCGCCGCAGCGAAGCGUACACCUCCAACGUCUACAGGCGCUGGGGGUAUCGGGUGUCGGCGGCGGCGCUUUGCGGCCGGUCGUACAGGUUGGGCGCGGGCGGGCGCGGCGGCCGUGGCGCGCACAGGUGAUUGACUGGCCAGCUGGCUGAGGAGGCGCCGGGUUCUCUUCGCUGGCAGGUGGCGGAGCUCAUUUGGGCGGCUGCGGAGGGGCGGCGGCGGCGGCGGCGGCCCGGCUCGGGGGGUGCUCCUUGGGCCAAGGCCAUGGCCCCGCGGCUGCAGCUGGAGAAGGCGGCCUGGCGCUGGGCGGAGACCGUACGGCCCGAGGAGGUGUCGCAGGAGCACAUCGAGACCGCCUACCGCAUCUGGCUGGAGCCCUGCAUCCGAGGCGUAUGCAGGCGAAACUGCAAAGGAAAUCCGAAUUGUUUGGUUGGGAUUGGUGAGCAUGUUUGGUUAGGAGAAAUAGAUGAAAAUAGUUUUCAUAACAUCGAUGAUCCCAACUGUGAGAGGAGGAAAAAGAACUCAUUUGUGGGCCUGACUAACCUUGGAGCCACUUGUUAUGUCAAUACAUUUCUUCAAGUGUGGUUUCUCAACUUGGAGCUUCGGCAGGCGCUGUACUUAUGUCCAAGUACCUGUAGUGACUACAUGAUGAGAGAUGGUGUCCAAGAAGAGAAAGAUUAUGAGCCUCAGACAAUUUGUGAGCAUCUCCAGUACUUGUUUGCACUGCUGCAGAACAGUAAUAGGCGAUACAUUGAUCCUUCAGGAUUUGUUAAAGCCUUGGGCCUGGACACCGGACAACAGCAGGAUGCCCAAGAAUUUUCAAAGCUCUUUAUGUCUCUGUUGGAAGAUACUUUGUCUAAACAAAAGAACCCAGAUGUGCAGAACAUUGUGCAGCGGCAGUUCUGUGGGGAGUAUGCUUACGUGACUGUUUGCAAUCAGUGUGGCAGAGAGUCCAAACUUUUAUCAAAGUUCUAUGAACUGGAGUUAAAUAUCCAAGGCCACAAACAGUUAACAGAUUGUAUCUCAGAAUUUUUAAAGGAAGAAAAAUUAGAAGGAGACAAUCGAUACUUUUGUGAAAAUUGUCAAAGCAAACAAAACGCUACACGGAAGAUUCGACUUCUUAGCCUUCCUUGCACUCUGAACUUGCAGCUGAUGCGUUUUGUCUUUGACAGGCAAACUGGACAUAAGAAAAAGCUGAAUACCUACAUUGGCUUCUCAGAAAUUUUGGAUAUGGAGCCUUAUGUGGAACACAAAGGUGGGUCCUAUGUGUAUGAACUCAGUGCCGUCCUCAUACACAGAGGAGUGAGCGCUUAUUCUGGCCACUACAUCGCCCAUGUGAAAGAUCCACAGUCUGGUGAAUGGUAUAAAUUUAAUGAUGAAGACAUAGAAAAGAUGGAGGGGAAGAAAUUACAGCUAGGGAUUGAGGAAGAUCUAGCAGAACCUUCCAAGUCCCAGACACGCAAACCCAAGUGUGGCAAAGGAACUCACUGUUCUCGGAAUGCAUACAUGCUGGUUUAUAGACUGCAAGCCCAAGAAAAGCCCAACACGAUGAUUCAAGUUCCAGCCUUCCUUCAGGAGCUGGUAGAUCGGGAUAAUUCCAAGUUUGAGGAGUGGUGUGUUGAAAUGGCUGAGAUGCGUAAGCAAAGUGUGGAUAAAGGAAAAGCAAAACACGAAGAGGUGAAGGAGCUGUACCAAAGGUUACCUGCUGGAGCUGGUCUGUAAGAUAUUCCAGGACGGCACUAUUGCCAUUAAGUGCCUUAUUUUUUUAUGUUCAUAAAAAAAUGUGUAUGAACAAACUUUUUCCUACCCUCAUAACCAACUAAAGCCAGCCCCUAACUCUCAGUCCGUGCUGGUUUAUGCAGUAAUGUGUAGCAUCCCAUAUAGUUUUCAUUAUCAUAUGGUUUUUAAAAUGGAAAACCAUUAAUAGAUUUAGGUCAGUGCUCUGUAUACAUGGUUUAUAGAACUUUUUACUUCAUGAGAUACUAACUUGUUUCUAAAGACAGGUAUGCUUGGAUUACUGUGGACGCAACCUGCCCAUUCUAUCUCUGUAUACUUUAUGCCCUAAUGUCACAGGCAUACUUUUAUUUGAGUACAGUUUUUGAUAUUCUUAGAUUAACUUGAAUGUAACAACUGUUAUGCUAGGAGUAGAAAAGCUUUCCAGUGCACCUCUGAUUUCUUAGAAUUACCUACCUAAUCCACUCAUCCUUUUAUUGUCUGUUUAUUCAAGUUUACCCAGUAUCUUAAAGGAAGCCAACACUUUUAAGGCGGAUACACCUUUGAUUACAAUAAAUUGUGUUUGUCAUUUCUAAGACACAAAUUCCUCAAACCUGACUUCUUUGUACAGAGCGGAGGAAAUUUAGUCCUAACUUAGAAAAUAACCAUGCAAACGUAAUUGUACUUGUGGUUUUGUCCUUUUCAUAUCUUAAUUUUCCAUUACUGAUAAAAGUUUAAACCAAAGAUGGCAGUAAAUUGCUAAAUCUGCAAGAAUAGUUUCUAGAAGUUCUUACUAAAAGCUGGGGAUGUAGUUAGUUUGUAGAGCACUUGGGUUCAAUCCCUAGUACCACCACUACCACCAAAAAAAAGCUGCUUUGUAAUAUUAUUUUUACUGUGUUUGACAGUUGGGAAUAGCCUAAGAAAAUGUCACUGGCCUCCAUUUAACUGGAAAUAAACCCUUGGUUCAAAGAAAAAAAAAGAAAAAAAACCCAUAAUUCACAUCCCUAAAUUUUUGGGGGGUGGGAGGCGGUAUUGGGGUUUGAACUCAGGGCCUCAUGCUUGCUGGGUAGGCGCUGUACCACUCGGUCAGUCCACCAGCACAACAUAGCUAAAUUUAUCUGUCUCUGUUCAACGGAAGUGGAACAUAGAAAAUCUGUUUUCUGAACUUUAUUCACAGCUUCUUCAUAUUCUACCCAGGAGAAAGGGACUUCCUGGAGCUAAAGUGAGAUGGUAUUGGGACAGCCGGCAGUCUGGCUAAGUGGUAGAGCACUAGAGGCUGUGGCUUGAUCCCAGCACUUUUAAAAAAACAAAAAGGUGCUGUUGGGAACCACUCUUAAAACUGUGCUGCUCAAAGAUAUUAUAUGACAAGUUAGCACUGUACUUCCCAUGAGUGUUUUAUUUAGUCUCUCAGAUCCUGUGCUUAUGUUUUUAGAUUUUUUUUCUCUGUUUUUUAUUCUUUUAUGAAGCAGGCUUUAUAUUUCUUCCCCAUUUACAGUAAACUUCCAUAAUGGAAAAUCUGUGUUGUCCUAAAAUGAUGGAAAAUCUGAAAGUCAGUGGCCAUAGUUUUGUGCUGCCAACCAAAGUCUUUUGUUAUGCAUUUUUUUAAAAAAGUUUUUAUUAGUAUAUGAUAGUUGUACAGGGGAUUUCAUUGUGUUCGUUGUGACGUUGCCAUAUAUACAUAUGUUGUAUUCUGGUUUGGUUCAUCCCGUUGUUAGGUAUUUUUUUAAAUCUUAGCUUUGUGAACAGACUUAUAAAAGAGUCAUUAAUCCUAAAAUCAAGCCUCAUUGGAAACAAUCCCUUUGGUCCUGAUUAUUUAAAUAGAAAUGUCCUUAAAUUAUCUUUAUGUAAAGUGUUUCAAAUGUUUUGGUACUGUGAUUGGUCCAGAUGCUAUAAAUUUCCAAAAGAAAAUUUAUUGUGUUCAAAACCCAGAAAUUUUUUUGAACUUUGGUCCAAAGUUAUUGCUAAUAUUUCUCCUUGGUAAAUAUUCUAACGGUUGCUUUUCUGGUUUAUCAAACACUGAAAUUUAUGGUUCAGUAUCUCCACUUGACAAGGAGAUAAGAGUUCUCUCUCCUGCUUGGCAGCUGACUGCCAUGCCUUUGGAAGGCAGGGCUGGGUUGAUUAUUGAGAUACAUACUGAGACACAUCUUCAAUAUUCUUGCCAGGAGUCUUUCUGUAUGGCAGAAUCGUCUAUGUAUAAAACCUUCCACAAGCAGAGUCUGUCUUAAUCAUGAGCCUAUGUUCAACCCUAGUUCUCAUGGGAGCUCUUGGAGAGAUCCACAUAGCUCUUUAUAGAAGUAGAGAUUGCAAACAGAAAGACAGACCUAUAGGCACAGCCACUCCUCCUUCCGUGUGGGUCCUCCAGCAUACCAACAUGAAAUCAGGAAAAUUUGCAGAGUUAAUGUUAAGCAUGGUGUUAGAUCAAAAUUAUGGAUCCAGUCUCUGCUCUUUCUUCCUCCUCUUACUAUAAAGUCACGUGAUUUUCCUAAUCAUUUUAUCUUACGUUCAAUUCAUGUUAAACUACUCAAAACCAAAACAAGCUUUGUUUGGAAGUUUUCUAUUGGACUUUUGUCAUAAGGGAUUGGAAAAUACUGACCUACCCACCUCUAAGUCACAUUGUUGUUCAGUGGGUCAGAGUACAAUCCCUGGGCCUUAAGUUCCAAAGAUACCCCCUGGUAAGGAGUGUUUUGUGUACUCUUCAUUGUCCUAGAUUCCUUUCCUUGCAAUAGUUAGAUUCUCAGGUUUAUUCCUUCAGUUAGCAACUGCAGGUAUUUCCCUCUUUGCACCUAUCGCUGGUCUGUUGGGGAAACCAGAAUAUCUGAGGAAUUAUUCUUGAAUGUUGCCCUACAUCAUAAUCCUGUUUUCCUUGAAGAAGAAUCUUUAAGAUGACUCUAAAGUUUAAUCCAUGUGACUGUCCUUGGAAAUAAUAGCUAUGCCAAGACUUUUUACUUAGCUCUCAGACAAGGAUCGUUUAUCUUUGCAUUCUCCAGAUGACCAGUGUUCUUUGUGCCUGCAGGUUAAACCUGGAAAAUGGCAAAUAAAAUGGCAGGUGUUUUGAAUGUAUUUAGCUACACCAUGAUAUACUGUAGGACAUUCCAACUAUUUACUGUUCUGCAUCUUAAGGUCUCCUCUUUUAUAUAUUGUGUGAAUGUGUAAUUAACUUUUCUGUAUCUCUUUUCUUCCAAAAAGCUCAAAAUGCUUCACAUAUCUUAUCUUUUACACCCAACAACAUCUCUGUGAGAGCCCUAUGAGUUUGUCUCUCUUGAAUGGCUGC